GACGAACGCUGGCGGCGUGCUUAACACAUGCAAGUCGAACGGAAAGGCCUCUCUCGUGGGGUACUCGCGUGUCGAACGGGGGAGUAACACGUGCGUAACCUGCCCUCGACUUUUGGAUAACUUCAGGAAACUGGGGCUAUUACCGCAUAUGGGCUCCUGCUGCAUGGUGGGGGUUGGAGAGUUUCGGCGCUUGUGGAUGUACUCGCGGCGUAUCAGCUUGUUGGUGGGGUGGUGGCUUACCAAGGCUCUGACGGGUAGCCGGCCGCAGAGGGUGACCGGCGGCAUGGGGACCGCGGGACGGCGCAGACGCCUACGGCGGGAAGCAGUGGGGAAGAUUGCACCAUAGGUGGAGGACGGAUGCAGCAACGCCGUGGGCGGGAGGACGGCCUUCUUGGGGUAAAAAGCUUUCUCUCAUGACGAAGCUUUGUGUGACGGUAGUGGGUAAAGAAGCACCGGCUAACUACGUG
RNAcentral lists this ribosomal RNA (467 nucleotides) under uncultured bacterium. RNAcentral's name for it is "partial 16S ribosomal RNA". It matches the Rfam family "Bacterial small subunit ribosomal RNA", at positions 28 to 507 of the family's 1533-position model. The record is from RNAcentral.